GAAAGAGGGUGGGCCUGGCUCCCCUGACACGCACGGAAGGAGUGGAGUGAGCUGGUGCAGAUGAGGGCGGCCCACAGGGGUGCCGGGAGGGCCUUGACUCAGUCCGGCUCCAAUCGGUCCUGGGACAAGGGCAGAAUUCAGCCGCUGCUGGCAGCCCCUGUCCAGUGUCCGGGUCCCGAAUUUUAGGAGCCACUGCUGCCCCCUUGGUCGCCUGAAACCCUCUCUCCUUCCUGCCUCCGAUCAUAACCCUGCAAUCUGGCCCUAAUCGCCGCCGGACUCUGUCAUGUGAAGGCCUGGCCCACACCUGCCUUCGCAGCCCACGGAACCCUGGCAGCCCCACCAGCUCGGAUGAGGGGCCAGGCCGCUGCCUCGGGCGCCCUGUGGAUUUCGAUUCACUGCUGCUGCUGCUGCUGCUGCUGCUGCUGCUGCUGCUGCUGCUGCUGCUGCUGCUGGGGCGCCAGCGAUGUGUGACCUCGUGGCUGGAUGUGGGUCCUCGGGCUGGGCUGUGCCUUGCCCCAUGCUGGUGCAGGGAAAAUUCUUCAGGUACGCUUGGCGGUUGCUGAGUUCCUCGCUAACGCCUCUCGCUGCUCCUGGACCCAGUGCAACCAGGACCCGCACCACCACGUGCACUACAUGAAGGUGGGGAAGGCAGCCCCACCUGCAGCAGCCUGGCCUGCAUCUGCAUCUACCAGUUGGACUCCUUCCUGCAACCCAUGCGCACCUACCUGGGCCUGGAGAGCUGUGAUGAGGUGCUGAGGCUCGUGACCCCUCGGGGCCUCUGGCCUUCCUGCUGGCCAGCAAGUAGUUCCUGUCGAAGAAGGGACAGCAGCCAUCCCAGGGCAGUGACCGCGGGACCCAGGUUGGGGCCCUCCCACGCCAGUGACAACUUUCCCGUAGAACACCUCACCAUGGGCAGCCGCAACCCCAGCGAUGUGGCUGGCGGCCCUUAGAACUGCCUCACCAGCCUGACCCAGGACCGGGGCGGGGAUGCGCUUCAGUCCUGCCCUACAUGGACUCAUGAAAAGCGUCUCGCUGUUGGGAACUCUUCCUCCACCGUAUAAAGAAGGCCGGGCUAGCUUGCUGAAGAGAUGGGGAUCCACCUCGAGCCAGCACCAAGCAGCAGACACGUGCAGAAGAGCUACUCUGUGUCCUGUGUGGGGCGGUACAGGGAGCGGAAGGGCAGCCAUUCCCAGCGGUCCGGGGCAGAUCCUGGCGCAGAUCCUGCAGCAAGCCUCGCUGCCAGGUUACACCGCCGCGCUCCAUGGCAUCUUUCAGGGCACCAAGGGACUGGUGAGAGGACGAGCUCUCCGCUCAGGGUGUCUCCUGCACGCAGCACCUGGGAAUGUUCGCCUCCACAGUGUCUUUGGACGUGGACUGGAGCCUGGCAGGGAACGCCUUCCAGGAAAGGAACCAGGGAAGCUUUCUAAUUCUGACAUUAGUUUUGCAAGCAUUGCUUUGUUUUGCUUUGCUUUAUAUUUAAAACCCUUUUCUCCAAAAAAUUCAUGCCAUUUUCAUCCUCUGAAUCAGAAUUGGAAUCGGUCACAGAAUUCUCUGAGGGUUCAGGGGGCGCUGCUCUUUUGUUGGCUGCUCCCCUAG
Molecule: long non-coding RNA, 1596 nt
Filed under: Camelus dromedarius (Arabian camel)
Lineage: Eukaryota; Metazoa; Chordata; Mammalia; Artiodactyla; Camelidae
Description: lncRNA (ENSCDRG00005003614.1)
Source: RNAcentral